Betta splendens (Siamese fighting fish) is the source of this 1170-nucleotide long non-coding RNA. NCBI's taxonomy places the organism in Eukaryota, Metazoa, Chordata, Actinopteri, Anabantiformes, Osphronemidae. The record is from Ensembl.
AUGAGAUCUGUGGAUGGGAACAUGUCUCCAGUCGAGGUGUUGAUGAAGGAAAUUCAGAAAUGCUCACACAAAUGGAGCAAGCGGACACAUGAAUCCACGUCGCCCUGGCCUUCAGAGGGGACAUUUGAUCUGAGGCAGUGUGCAGAGAUGCAGGGUUUUAUAAAAACCUAUAAGAUAAAAGACAAAUCUGUAAAGCGAGGCCUUAAACGGGAAAAAGAAAAUGCAGUGUUGCAAUUGUUUAUUAACUGUGCAAAAAUGAUGGGCAAAAAGACGACUCAAUGUGGUGAUAAUCAAUUUAAUCAGAUCUCUAAAACUAAGUCUCUUUCAGAUGCAUCCCAGAUGAAUGCAGAAGAAACAAACCCAUUAUGGACAAAGAAGCCAGUUCACCCUGUAGCUGAUCUAGAAGGGACAGACAGGGCAGUGAAAAGGGAUGAGUUGUUAGAACUGCCCGACAUUUAUUUAAACACAGAGAAAAUCUCAAUUGGAAAUUCCUGCAGUGAAAGUGAUCUGCGUGACAGAGCAGUUGGAUCACUGUGGGCUGAGUCAGAUGAGGAAUCGGUGUGUGUGGGUGACGAACGGGUAAAUGAGGUUUCUGAUGGACUUCCUCUGCUGAUCAAAAGGGCAAAGUGUCAAAAUCUGCCCUGGCCUUCAAGACCGGAUCAGAAUGAUCUGACUGACACUGUGGGACUCUGCAACUUGUCACUAGAACAAAUAACUGAGCAUGUGAUUCAUGCUGUUGAGCUGCGUCAGAAGCAGGAAAAGGAGGCAGUGAAAGAAGCAACACGCCAGCAGCAGCGAACAGAGGGGGAGAAAAGAGAGAGGAGGAUGGUGUCUGCUCAACCAGCCAGCGUGCCUCAGACCCCACCUACACCACCAGGCAUGGCCACACCUCAGGUGAUGUACAUUCUACCAGGAGGGUGGACAAGACGACCUCCUAUGAGGAGAGGAGGGUUCCCUGCAGACAAAGGCAGAGGAACAGGAGGCAGCCACAGAGGAGGCGUGAGAUGCUACUGCUGUGGGAAGACUGGUCACGUAAGAAGCCAUUGCUUUGAUUGGCUACGAGGCUCACGAGGAGUGCCCAGACCAAAGGGGUCCGCUGAUCAAUGUGGAGGCCCCUCAGCUGGUUACGAGAGAGGACCAGACACCUGCAGGAUUCAUGAACUUUGUUGA